UGUUGAAGUAUUGCAAAAGCAAAGGACGGGCACAAUUGCCAUGUGUUGGUAUUAUUGCUUCAAGUUAUUUGAAGCUGUAAUAUCAAUAAGCAUGUCUCGUGUGAAGUCCG
Caenorhabditis elegans is the source of this 110-nucleotide microRNA precursor. Lineage: Eukaryota; Metazoa; Nematoda; Chromadorea; Rhabditida; Rhabditidae. The record is from Ensembl.